CAGUAGCCGCGGUAAUACGAAGGGUGCAAGCGUUAAUCGGAAUUACUGGGCGUAAAGCGUGCGUAGGCGGUUUGUUAAGUCUGUUGUGAAAUCCCCGGGCUCAACCUGGGAAUGGCAAUGGAUACUGGCAAGCUAGAGUGUGUCAAAGGAUGGUGGAAUUCCCGGUGUAGCGGUGAAAUGCGUAGAGAUCGGGAGGAACAUCAGUGGCGAAGGCGGCCAUCUGGGACAACACUGACGCUGAGGCACGAAAGCGUGGGGAGCAAACAGGAUUAGAUACCCCUGUAGUCCCUGUCUCUUAUAC
RNAcentral lists this ribosomal RNA (301 nucleotides) under uncultured bacterium. RNAcentral describes it as "partial 16S ribosomal RNA". It matches the Rfam family "Bacterial small subunit ribosomal RNA", at positions 509 to 807 of the family's 1533-position model. The record is from RNAcentral.